AUGGCGGAAGUGGCAUUGGCUGUGGCUGGUGUACGGGCUGGCUUACAGUUGGUGGUAUCACCGAUCUUGAAGAAGCUGCUAGCUGACCCCGCAAGGUGUCUUGGUGUGGACAUGGUGAGUGAGCUCCAUGAACUGGAGACCAACAUCAUGCCACAGUUCACUCUACUGGUUGAAGCAGCUAACAAGAGCCCUCACAGGGCAAUGUUGAACAACUGGAUCCAGCAGCUCAAAGACGCAUUCUGUAAAGCUGAGGACCUGCUAGAUGAGCAUGAGUACAACAUCCUCAAGCGCGAAGCAGAGAAGGGGAAGGAUUCUUUGAUAGAACAUGCAUCUUCUAGUGGUACUAUUAUGAAGCAUGUGCAUACUGUGUCGAGCAGGCUGUCCAAUCUGCGCCCAAAGAACAAAAAGCUACUCGACCAGUUGAAGGAACUGAAGCUCAUCCUUGCGAAAGCCAAGGGCCUCCGUGAACUACUUUGCUUACCUGCUGGGGCCUCCACAAUGCCAGCAGCUGUUAUUCGAGUGGCCACAUCAAUAGCACCUCCGAAAGUGAUUGGUCGUGACAAGGACCGCGAUGAUAUUAUAGGUCUUCUUACCAAGCUGAUUGCUGCUGAGUCUGAUACAAGUAGGUUUUCUGGUCUAGCCAUUGUUGGACUUGGAGGCAUGGGAAAAUCCACCUUGGCGCAAUAUGUUUACAAUGACGAGAGGGUAAAAGAACAUUUUCAGGUCAGGAUGUGGGUUUGCAUCUCGCGCAAACUUGAUGUUAUUGGCCAUACACGGUUGAUUAUUGAAUCAGCAAAAGGAGGGCAGUGCCCACCUGUUGAUAAUCUUGAUACUCUCCAAUGCAUAUUAAGGGACACCCUGAAAAAAUCAGAGAGAUUCCUGCUUGUGUUGGAUGAUGUCUGGUUUGAAAAAAACAGCAAUGAGGACUGGGAGCAACUACUGGCUCCUCUAGUUUCUCGACACACAGGAAGCAAAGUUUUGGAACAUGCCUUUUCUGGUGCAGCAAUUGGAGACCAGAGGUUGCAUGAGCAGCUAGAAACGAUUGCAGAGAAGCUUGCUAAAAGACUUGGAAGAUCUCCUCUGGCAGCAAAAACUGUGGGUUCACAACUAAGCAGGAAAAAGGAUAAGGCAGCAUGGGAAGAUGCUCUAAGGAUUGACAACUUAAGUGAUCCCAGUAGAGCACUUUUGUGGAGUUACGAGAAUUUAGAUCCAAGUCUGCAGAGGUGUUUCCUAUAUUGCAGUUUAUAUCCAAAAGGCAACAGCUUUAUCAUGGAGGAGUUGGUUCGCAUGUGGGUAGGAGAGGGACUUUUUGAUUCGUGCAAUGUGAACAAAAGAAUUGAAGAUAUUGGGAGGGACUGCUUUGAUGAGAUGCUCUCAGUUUCAUUCUUUCAACCAGUUUACAAUGAUGGUAUAAUUAUGGACUGGUAUGUUAUGCAUGAUCUCGUUCAUGAUUUGGCAGAGUCAUUGUCUAAAGAAGUCUGCUUCAGAUUAGAAGAUGAUAAGAUGGCAACAAUACCACAAACUGUUCGACAUCUGUCUGUUCGUGUUAAGAGUUUGAAGCAACAUCAGCGUUUGAUCUGCAGGCUACAUCAUUUACGUACCUUUGUCUGCCUUGAGCCAGUUACAGAUGAUGCAAGAGACAUUUUCCAGCAGGUGGUGCAGAAUUUGAAGAAGUUGCGUGUACUUAUUCUGGAGUUCUAUAACAGCAGCAACCUGCCUGAAUCUGUUGGUGAAUUGAAGCACCUUCGGUACUUGAACCUCACAAGAACUUCAAUCUCCAAAUUGCCAGGAUCAUUGUGUGCUCUUUACCACUUGCAAUACCUUCAGUUCAGUCCCCAGGUUGAAACUUUUCCUGAAAAAAUAUUCAGUUUAAGUAAGUUGAGAAAUCUUGAAGGGCGUGGCCAAAUCCCUUACAUAGGCAAGUUAAUUUCACUCCACAAUCUCGAUCAAUUUUGCGUGAAAAAACAGAGGGGCUACGAGCUGCGACAACUGAAAGACAUGAACAACCUUGGUGGCAGUUUAAGUGUCUCAAAUCUUGAGAAUGUUGCUGGGAAGGAUCAAGCUUUAGAAGCAAAGCUACAUCAGAAAAAUCAUCUCGAGAGAUUGCACCUUGAAUGGAGUGAAGAAAAUGACAUGACUGCACCUGAUAGUUUACAUUUGGAAACCCUGGAAGGUCUGGUGCCACCACCGCAAAUAAGGGGCCUUACUAUCAAAGGUUACCGAUAUGCAAAAUACCCAGGCUGGUUACUCAGGGAUUCUUAUUUCCAGAAUUUGGAAUCAUUUGCACUUGUUAAUUGCAGUGCCUUAGAAAUCCUACCAUCAAAUGCCGCUCUCUUUGGGAAUUGCUCCUCACUUCACCUCAAGAAUGUCCCAUACUUGAAGACAUUACCUUCUCUUCCAGCUAGCCUUGAAGAGUUAGUGAUUAAGAAGUGCAUAUUGCUUAUGUUUAUUUCCAGCGAUGAGCUAAAACAAUAUGACGAAAGGGAGAACACCAUGAUGACAGACAGCCUGAAGUCACGUCUUUCUUCCACAUGGGAGGUGGAUUCGGGAUCAAACAUCAAGGACAUACUGUUGUCAGAACAUUCAUCUCUGAAGCGCUUGAUGAAAUUGAUGGAUGUUGAUAUUUCUCAUCUUCAAACCAUUGAAAGUACUCUAAAAAGAGAGGGGAGUGAAGCAUUGGUGAAAGAGGAUAUCAUCAAUGCAUGGAUAUGUUGCCAUGUGGAGAGGAUAAGACUCAUAUGUAAAAGGAACAUCAGCCUACAACUGGUUCCACCAUCAGGGCUUUGUCGGCUUCACCUUUAUUCAUGUGUCGUUGCAGAUGAAGCAUUAGCGGUUUGCCUUGUUGGUCUCACUGCAUUGAGAAUAUUGUCACUAAAAGAGAUUAUGACUUUGACUACACUUCCGUCACAGGAUGUUCUCCAACAGUUGACAAAGCUUGAUGAAUUGUUCAUCAACUCGUGCUGGUGCCUUAGAUCAUUAGGGGGGCUGCGAGCUGUUUCCGCUCUUUCAAUAUUUUCUUUAUGUAGCUGCCCUUCUGUAGAGUUGACACAUGAAUCAGAUUUUUUGCCAUUUUCCCUUGGGAUGCUCAACAUACGACACUGUGUGGUCGCAGCUGAUUUCCUCAGUAUUGACUUGCCACACCUGAAAUAUCUUGACAUGAGUCACUGCAGAAGCUCUUCAUCAUUGUCGAUUGGUCAUUUAACCUCCCUCAGAACAUUGUCACUAGAAAAUCUACAGGACUUGUGCUUUCUUGAAGGGUUGUCUUCGCUGCAACUUUUCGGUGCAGAAUUUGUGCAUGUCCCGAACCUCAGUAUGAAGUGCAUCUCACAGCUGCGAGUCCAGGAGUACCUAUUUGUUAGCAGCCCCGUAAUGCUCAACCACAUGCUCUCUGUUGAAGGUAUUAAAGCUCCAAGAUAUUUGCGUCUUAUAGGAUGCAAGGAGUCCUUUUCAUUUGAGGAGUCAGUAGAUUUCUCAUCUGUCAUCAACCUGUCAUUUAUGGAUUGUGAAAUCAGUUCAUUGCCAGGAAAUCUGAAGUCCUUUUCAUGCCUGUCGGAGCUGCGAAUUCAUAGAUGCCCCAAUAUAUCAUCUUUACCUGAUUUGCCAUCUUCCGUCCACGGAAUAUACGUGCGGGAUUCUGAACUCUUGAAGAAGAGCUGCCAAUCACCUCAUGGGGAAAGCUGGCCAAAGAUUGAGCAUAUCUGCAUAAAAGAUUUUCUCUAG
This 3720-nucleotide ribosomal RNA is filed under the name Triticum aestivum (bread wheat). RNAcentral's name for it is "partial small subunit ribosomal RNA". Lineage: Eukaryota; Viridiplantae; Streptophyta; Magnoliopsida; Poales; Poaceae. The record is from RNAcentral.